UGGGGAAUAUUGGACAAUGGGCGACAGCCUGAUCCAGCCAUGCCGCGUGUGUGAAGAAGGUCUUCGGAUUGUAAAGCACUUUAAGUUGGGAGGAAGGGCAUUAACCUAAUACGUUAGUGUUUUGACGUUACCGACAGAAUAAGCACCGGCUAGCUCUGUGCCAGCAGCCGCGGUAAUACAGAGGGUGCAAGCGUUAAUCGGAAUUACUGGGCGUAAAGCGCGCGUAGGUGGUUUGUUAAGUUGGAUGUGAAAUCCCCGGGCCCAACCUGGGAACUGCAUUCAAAACUGACUGACUAGAGUAUGGUAGAGGGUGGUGGAAUUUCCUGUGUAGCGGUGAAAUGCGUAGAUAUAGGAAGGAACACCAGUGGCGAAGGCGACCACCUGGACUAAUACUGACACUGAGGUGCGAAAGCGUGGGGAGCAAACA
This 427-nucleotide ribosomal RNA is filed under the name uncultured bacterium. RNAcentral's name for it is "partial 16S ribosomal RNA". It matches the Rfam family "Bacterial small subunit ribosomal RNA", at positions 355 to 774 of the family's 1533-position model. The record is from RNAcentral.